UACGAAGGUGGCAAGCGUUGUUCGGAAUCACUGGGCAUAAAGCGCGUGUAGGCGGCUAGGUAAGUCGGGUGUGAAAUCCCUCAGCUCAACUGAGGAACUGCGCCCGAAACUACCUUGCUUGAGGUCUGGAGGGGAGAGUGGAAUUCCCGGUGGAGCGGUGAAAUGCGUAGAUAUCGGGAGGAACGCCGGUGGCGAAAGCGACUCUCUGGACAGAUCCUGACGCUGAGACGCGAAAGCUAGGGGAGCAAAC
Molecule: ribosomal RNA, 250 nt
Filed under: uncultured bacterium
Lineage: Bacteria
Description: partial 16S ribosomal RNA
Rfam family: Bacterial small subunit ribosomal RNA
Source: RNAcentral